This 111-nucleotide microRNA precursor is filed under the name Tetraodon nigroviridis (spotted green pufferfish). RNAcentral's name for it is "miRNA (ENSTNIG00000020070.1)". The stretch from base 5 to 83 matches the Rfam family "mir-26 microRNA precursor family". Rfam says of the family: The hairpin precursors (represented here) are predicted based on base pairing and cross-species conservation -- their extents are not known. In this case the mature sequence is excised from the 5' arm of the hairpin. Lineage: Eukaryota; Metazoa; Chordata; Actinopteri; Tetraodontiformes; Tetraodontidae. The record is from RNAcentral.
GUAGCCGUAACUGGGUUCAAGUAAUCCAGGAUAGGCUUGGUAUCUGUCUCGGCCUAUGCUUGAUUACUUGCACUUGGAGACGGCGACGUAACCACGGCAACCUGCAGAAGA